This 159-nucleotide unclassified non-coding RNA is filed under the name uncultured Hypocreales. RNAcentral's name for it is "sequence contains ITS1". The record is from RNAcentral. Lineage: Eukaryota; Fungi; Ascomycota; Sordariomycetes; Hypocreales.
GCGAGACUUAGCGCUCCAACCCUUGUGAACAUACCUAUCGUUGCUUCGGCGGACCGCCCCGGGCGCACCCUCGGGUGCAUGCCCGGAACCAGGCGUCCGCCGGAGGCCCUAAACUCUUGUAUUAUAGUGUACUUCUGAGUGGCAUAACGCAAUAAAUCA